GCGGCCAGUUAAGGGUAUCGGUGGACGUCGAUAGACGAUCUGGAACUGGCUACAGAUCAGAAGGUGAGGGGUUCGAGUCCUCUCGGCUGCG
RNAcentral lists this transfer RNA (91 nucleotides) under Sphaerisporangium rubeum. RNAcentral describes it as "tRNA-OTHER". Lineage: Bacteria; Bacillati; Actinomycetota; Actinomycetes; Streptosporangiales; Streptosporangiaceae. The record is from RNAcentral.